CCCCUUAGCAGUGCAUGUGAUUUGGUCAUGUUAAAGAUGAAGCGGGUCCCCAGGAUGGCAGAGUGCUGCAUCCUGUUACCAUGGGAACAGGAGAUGCCAUGUCCCAUAGGACCUGCAGACCAAAGCUUGAGCAGCACUGAUCAAAGCCAGCAGAAGGCUCAAACACAAACGCACGUGCGUGUUAGAGCAUAUGUCGUGCAUUCCUACGGGAGCUCUGCCAGCUCUUAAUUCCCCGCUCCUGUCUGAGAAAAGCACCUACAGACAUGGAUACAUAUCGCUGAGCAUCUCCUGCACCACAGCCGCAUUGGAAAGAAGCCGCAAAACCAGAGCACAAUGUCCUUCAGCUGCUCCACAGUCCUGGAAUCUAUUGGCACUUUCACACAGGGACACAUGAAGGGGAGGAGUGGUAACUGCAUAAAGAUACUUGUAAUCAGAUUUAGAAGCACCAGGAAGGCUGGAGAAGAGCUCGGGAGGUCAGCCACCAAAACACACACUCCCAUAUUAUCCCAGAUACCUUCUCCUAACCCUAUAAAUCCAAACACAAAUGCUCACAUUGCAAAACAAAACAAAACAAUCUUAAAGACAUUCAGGAAAGCAAAACCAUUUUUUACUUUUGCUGCUUUAUUCCUGUAAAAGGUAAGGUUUUGUCCACCACCACUCCUGCAAACAUCACCCCCAGCUUGUUGCCUGUGCCUGGGGUCAACUAUUUGCCCUCAGUGCCUUAUGUCGCAUCUCUGUUCCACUGGAGGACGUGGAAUGCAAUAGGAACUUUCUGCCUCAGCAGCACUUUAGCACAACUGUUUGCUUAACUGUUGCAAG
RNAcentral lists this long non-coding RNA (819 nucleotides) under Numida meleagris (helmeted guineafowl). RNAcentral's name for it is "lncRNA (ENSNMEG00000003523.1)". The record is from RNAcentral. Lineage: Eukaryota; Metazoa; Chordata; Aves; Galliformes; Numididae.